Molecule: ribosomal RNA, 497 nt
Filed under: uncultured bacterium
Lineage: Bacteria
Description: partial 16S ribosomal RNA
Rfam family: Bacterial small subunit ribosomal RNA
Source: RNAcentral
GAUGAACGCUGGCGGCGUGCCUAAUACAUGCAAGUCGAGCGAACAGACGAGGAGCUUGCUCCUCUGACGUUAGCGGCGGACGGGUGAGUAACACGUGGAUAACCUACCUAUAAGACUGGGAUAACUACGGGAAACCGGAGCUAAUACCGGAUAAUAUAUUGAACCGCAUGGUUCAAUAGUGAAAGACGGUUUUGCUGUCACUUAUAGAUGGAUCCGCGCCGCAUUAGCUAGUUGGUAAGGUAACGGCUUACCAAGGCGACGAUGCGUAGCCGACCUGAGAGGGUGAUCGGCCACACUGGAACUGAGACACGGUCCAGACUCCUACGGGAGGCAGCAGUAGGGAAUCUUCCGCAAUGGGCGAAAGCUUGACGGAGCAACGCCGCGUGAGUGAUGAAGGUCUUCGGAUCGUAAAACUCUGUUAUUAGGGAAGAACAAAUGUGUAAGUAACUAUGCACGUCUUGACGGUACCUAAUCAGAAAGCCACGGCUAACUACGUG